RNAcentral lists this ribosomal RNA (482 nucleotides) under uncultured bacterium. RNAcentral describes it as "partial 16S ribosomal RNA". It matches the Rfam family "Bacterial small subunit ribosomal RNA", at positions 30 to 507 of the family's 1533-position model. The record is from RNAcentral.
AUUGAACGCUGGCGGCAUGCCUUACACAUGCAAGUCGAACGGUAACAGGUCUUCGGAUGCUGACGAGUGGCGAACGGGUGAGUAAUACAUCGGAACGUGCCCGAUCGUGGGGGAUAACGAGGCGAAAGCUUUGCUAAUACCGCAUACGAUCUACGGAUGAAAGCGGGGGAUCUUCGGACCUCGCGCGGACGGAGCGGCCGAUGGCAGGUUAGGUAGUUGGUGGGAUAAAAGCUUACCAAGCCGACGAUCUGUAGCUGGUCUGAGAGGAUGAUCAGCCACACUGGGACUGAGACACGGCCCAGACUCCUACGGGAGGCAGCAGUGGGGAAUUUUGGACAAUAGGCGAAAGCCUGAUCCAGCCAUGCCGCGUGCAGGAUGAAGGCCUUCGGGUUGUAAACUGCUUUUGUACGGAACGAAAAGCCUCUUUCUAAUAAAGAGGGGUCAUGACGGUACCGUAAGAAUAAGCACCGGCUAACUACGUG